GGCCGGGUCCUAUGCAAUGCCCGUUCGGAUGAACCCCGUCAGGUCCGGAAGGAAGCAGCGGUAAUCGGAACAGCAUGUCGUAGGGUGCCUGGCCACU
This 97-nucleotide signal recognition particle RNA is filed under the name Coraliomargarita sp. TMED73. RNAcentral describes it as "signal recognition particle sRNA small type". It matches the Rfam family "Bacterial small signal recognition particle RNA". From Rfam's summary of the family: The signal recognition particle (SRP) is a universally conserved ribonucleoprotein involved in the co-translational targeting of proteins to membranes. Archaeal SRP consists of a 7S RNA and homologues of the eukaryotic SRP19 and SRP54 proteins. Lineage: Bacteria; Pseudomonadati; Verrucomicrobiota; Opitutia; Puniceicoccales; Coraliomargaritaceae. The record is from RNAcentral.